CUACGGAGCCACAUUUCAACCGCAGGUCCAGGAUCGGUAUGUGAGUGCGAGUCAUUCUGGGCACUUCAACCUGGAAAAUGACAAAAAGGUCGUGAAGGAGGACAGAGGGCCUCCCUUGCAGCUCUUUUAGCCUCCUCACUUAUGGCUAGCGGAGCCGUCCUAAAUUUGAUGGUGCCUUUAUUU
Danio rerio (zebrafish) is the source of this 183-nucleotide non-coding RNA. The record is from RefSeq and is a predicted model, not a curated record. NCBI's taxonomy places the organism in Eukaryota, Metazoa, Chordata, Actinopteri, Cypriniformes, Danionidae.